This 693-nucleotide long non-coding RNA is filed under the name Homo sapiens (human). Its description in RNAcentral is "HSALNT0213620". Lineage: Eukaryota; Metazoa; Chordata; Mammalia; Primates; Hominidae. The record is from RNAcentral.
GCAGCCUUCAAAUUGUGGUUAAGGUCACCAAACCAAGCGGAUGCCUGGCUUGGGUUUUUGACAGUGGAGUCAGCGACAACAAAGACAACGGAUAAUUAGAGUUCAUUCAAACAUCCUUUGAGAUUUCCAGUAAAUCAUGGAAUUAAAAAAAAAAAGAAAUUACAGAUACAGUAAGAAAAGAAAAAGAGAAGAAAAAACAGUAGAUAAGCCACGCAAAAGUCUUCCUACCAAGAAUCAAGUUCAAAUGACUCAGCUGGUCAAUUUACUAAGACUCUUGUUCGGGAACAAGAAUCAAAGACUUAGAGAUGAUCAGUAACCUGGAGAAGUUAUACAGCAGGAAAAUCUACAUCAUGGAUUUCCCUGUAGAGUCAUGAGACAGGAAUGUGCAAAGCCAAAAGAGACAGCUGGGAAGUGUAGCAGAAGAUCACAAAAUGUAACUACCACCCAAGUGAGAUCUGUUACUCCUCACCAAAAAUUAAGGUAACACCCUUGACGUCACGAUUUGUUUGGAUGCAAUUCUAUUUCAUGUUGAACCAUUAACAUGGAAUGGAAUAAAAUAGAAUGGCUAUAAUUUACUGAGUGCUUAAGGACAGUCUUUAUUAAAAGCAAUUGGAUUAAUAAUCUCUGAAUUGUCAUGAAUCUGCAAGUGUCCAGGAUUUCACAUGAAGAAGAUGAGAGAAGACAACUCAGAGC